This 450-nucleotide ribosomal RNA is filed under the name uncultured bacterium. RNAcentral's name for it is "bacterial SSU rRNA". It matches the Rfam family "Bacterial small subunit ribosomal RNA", at positions 340 to 786 of the family's 1533-position model. The record is from RNAcentral.
UACGGAAGGCAACAGUGGGGAAUAUUGCACAAUGGGCGCAAGCCUGAUGCAGCCAUGCCGCGUGUAUGAAAAGGCCUUCGGGUUGUAAAGUACUUUCAGUCGUGAGGAAGGUGUUAAGGUUAAUAACCUUAGCAAUUGACGUUAGCGACAGAAGAAGCACCGGCUAACUCCGUGCCAGCAGCCGCGGUAAUACGGAGGGUGCGAGCGUUAAUCGGAAUUACUGGGCGUAAAGGGCACGCAGGCGGUUAAUUAAGUUGGAUGUGAAAUCCCCGGGCUUAACCUGGGAAUGGCAUUCAAGACUGGUUAGCUAGAGUCUUGUAGAGGGGGUAGAAUUCCAUGUGUAGCGGUGAAAUGCGUAGAGAUGUGGAGGAUACCGGUGGCGAAGGCGGCCCCUGGACAAGACUGACGCUCAUGUGCGAAAGCGUGGGGAGCAAACAGGGAUUAGAUACC